UACGUAGGGUGCGAGCGUUGUCCGGAAUUACUGGGCGUAAAGAGCUCGUAGGUGGUUUGUCGCGUUGUUCGUGAAAACUCACAGCUUAACUGUGGGCGUGCGGGCGAUACGGGCAGACUGGAGUACUGCAGGGGAGACUGGAAUUCCUGGUGUAGCGGUGGAAUGCGCAGAUAUCAGGAGGAACACCGGUGGCGAAGGCGGUGCUCUGGGCCGGAACUGACGCUGAGGAGCGAAAGCGUGGGGAGCAAACAGG
This 253-nucleotide ribosomal RNA is filed under the name uncultured bacterium. RNAcentral describes it as "partial 16S ribosomal RNA". It matches the Rfam family "Bacterial small subunit ribosomal RNA", at positions 524 to 776 of the family's 1533-position model. The record is from RNAcentral.